RNAcentral lists this ribosomal RNA (253 nucleotides) under uncultured bacterium. RNAcentral's name for it is "partial 16S ribosomal RNA". It matches the Rfam family "Bacterial small subunit ribosomal RNA", at positions 524 to 776 of the family's 1533-position model. The record is from RNAcentral.
UACGAGGGGGGCAAAUGUUGUUCGGAAUCACUGGGCGUAAAGGGAGCGUAGGCGGGGUCUUAAGUCAAGUGUUUAAUCCCGGGGCCCAACCCCGGACCGGCAUUUUAAACUGGGACUCUUGAAUAGUGGAGAGGUCGGUGGAAUUGGGGGUGUAGCGGUGGAAUGCGUAGAGAUCCCCAAGAACACCAGUUGCGAAGGCGGCCGACUGGACACAUAUUGACGCUGAGGCUCGAAAGCAUGGGGAGCAAACAGG